UCCGAAGGGGGCUAGCGUUGUUCGGAAUUACUGGGCGUAAAGCGCGCGUAGGCGGCUUUGCAAGCCAGGGGUGAAAUGCCUGAGCUCAACUUGGGAAUUGCCUUUGGGACUGUGAGGCUUUGAGGACUGGAGAGGUGAGUGGAAUUCCCAGUGUAGAGGUGAAAUUCGUAGAUAUUGGGAAGAACACCGGUGGCGAAGGCGGCUCACUGGCCAGUUUCUGACGCUGCAGCGCGAAAGCGUGGGGAUAAAACAGG
RNAcentral lists this ribosomal RNA (254 nucleotides) under uncultured bacterium. RNAcentral describes it as "partial 16S ribosomal RNA". It matches the Rfam family "Bacterial small subunit ribosomal RNA", at positions 524 to 776 of the family's 1533-position model. The record is from RNAcentral.